This 209-nucleotide long non-coding RNA is filed under the name Hordeum vulgare. RNAcentral's name for it is "long non-coding RNA (HVUL_LNC000967)". Lineage: Eukaryota; Viridiplantae; Streptophyta; Magnoliopsida; Poales; Poaceae. The record is from RNAcentral.
CUGUCUGAGAUUGUACCAAUAGUUAUCAAGUAUAGGUUUUUCAUCCUAGUUAAUUUCGCUGUCAAACAUAUCAAUCUGAUAAAACUGCAACGCCUUGCACCAUGUUAAUUUUUCAAGUACGAGAAACUGCUUAGCUCAAAAUGCCAUGUUGAGUGUAUGCUAGCCAUGAUUCUUUUCAUAGUUUGAUGUUGCUCAUGUGGAGCUAUUUG